AACGAACGCUGGCGGCAGGCUUAACACAUGCAAGUCGAACGCCCCGCAAGGGGAGUGGCGCACGGGUGAGUAACGCGUGGAUACCUGCCUUUUGGUUCGGAAUAACCCCGGGAAACUGGGGCUAAUACCGGAUCGUUCCUACGGGAUAAAGAUUUAUCGCCAAAAGAUGAGUCCGCGUACGAUUAGCUAGUUGGUGAGGUAAUGGCUCACCAAGGCGACGAUCGUUAGCUGGUCUGAGAGGACGAUCAGCCACACUGGGCAUGAGACACGGCCCAGACUCCUACGGGAGGCAGCAGUGGGGAAUAUUGGACAAUGGGGGCAACCCUGAUCCAGCCAUGCCGCGUGAGUGAUGAAGGCCUUCGGGUUGUAAAGCUCUUUUGGCGGGGACGAUGAUGACGGUACCCGCAGAAUAAGCCCCGGCUAACUUCGUGCCAGCCGCCGCUGUAA
Molecule: ribosomal RNA, 447 nt
Filed under: uncultured bacterium
Lineage: Bacteria
Description: partial 16S ribosomal RNA
Rfam family: Bacterial small subunit ribosomal RNA
Source: RNAcentral